AGAGCGAACGCUGGCGGCAGGCCUAACACAUGCAAGUCGAACGGACCCUUCGGGGUUAGUGGCGGACGGGUGAGUAACACGUGGGAACGUGCCUUUUGGUUCGGAAUAGCUCCUGGAAACGGGUGGUAAUGCCGAAUGUGCCCUUCGGGGGAAAGAUUUAUCGCCAUUAGAGCGGCCCGCGUCUGAUUAGCUAGUUGGUGAGGUAAUGGCUCACCAAGGCGACGAUCAGUAGCUGGUCUGAGAGGAUGACCAGCCACAUUGGGACUGAGACACGGCCCAAACUCCUACGGGAGGCAGCAGUGGGGAAUCUUGCGCAAUGGGCGAAAGCCUGACGCAGCCAUGCCGCGUGAAUGAUGAAGGUCUUAGGAUUGUAAAAUUCUUUCACCGGGGACGAUAAUGACGGUACCCGGAGAAGAAGCCCCGGCUAACUUCGUACCAGCAGCCGC
Molecule: ribosomal RNA, 446 nt
Filed under: uncultured soil bacterium
Lineage: Bacteria
Description: bacterial SSU rRNA
Rfam family: Bacterial small subunit ribosomal RNA
Source: RNAcentral